GACGAACGCUGGCGGCGUGCCUAAUACAUGCAAGUAGGACGCUGAAGGAGGAGCUUGCUUCUCUGGAUGAGUUGCGAACGGGUGAGUAACGCGUAGGUAACCUGCCUGGUAGCGGGGGAUAACUAUUGGAAACGAUAGCUAAUACCGCAUAAUAGUAGAUGUUGCAUGACAUUUGCUUAAAAGGUGCAAUUGCAUCACUACCAGGUGGACCUGCGUUGUAUUAGCUAGUUGGUGGGGUAACGGCUCACCAAGGCGACGAUACAUAGCCGACCUGAGAGGGUGAUCGGCCACACUGGGACUGAGACACGGCCCAGACUCCUACGGGAGGCAGCAGUAGGGAAUCUUCGGCAAUGGACGGAAGUCUGAACGAGCAACGCCGCGUGAGUGAAGAAGGUUUUCGGAUCGUAAAGAUCUGUUGUAAGAGAAGAACGAGUGUGAGAGUGGAAAGUUCACACUGUGACGGUAUCUUACCAGAAAGGGACGGCUAACUACGUG
This 495-nucleotide ribosomal RNA is filed under the name uncultured bacterium. Its description in RNAcentral is "partial 16S ribosomal RNA". It matches the Rfam family "Bacterial small subunit ribosomal RNA", at positions 28 to 507 of the family's 1533-position model. The record is from RNAcentral.